RNAcentral lists this ribosomal RNA (442 nucleotides) under uncultured bacterium. Its description in RNAcentral is "bacterial SSU rRNA". It matches the Rfam family "Bacterial small subunit ribosomal RNA", at positions 29 to 517 of the family's 1533-position model. The record is from RNAcentral.
AACGAACGCUGGCGGCAGGCCUAACACAUGCAAGUCGAACGCCCUAGCAAUAGGGAGUGGCAGACGGGUGAGUAACGCGUGGGAACGUACCCUUCGGUUCGGAAUAACCCAGGGAAACUUGGACUAAUACCGGAUACGUGCGAGAGCAGAAAGAUUUAUCGCCGAAGGAUCGGCCCGCGUCCGAUUAGCUAGUUGGUGAGGUAAUGGCUCACCAAGGCGACGAUCGGUAGCUGGUCGAGAGGAUGAUCAGCCACACUGGGACUGAGACACGGCCCAGACUCCUACGGGAGGCAGCAGUGGGGAAUAUUGGACAAUGGGCGCAAGCCUGAUCCAGCCAUGCCGCGUGAGUGAUGAAGGCCCUAGGGUUGUAAAGCUCUUUCGCCAGGGACGAUAAUGACGGUACCUGGAUAAGAAGCCCCGGCUAACUUCGUGCCAGCAGCCG